ACGCACGCUGGCGGCGUGCUUAACACAUGCAAGUCGAACGGAAAGGCCCUGCUUUUGUGGGGUGCUCGAGUGGCGAACGGGUGAGUAACACGUGAGUAACCUGCCCUUGACUUUGGGAUAACUUCAGGAAACUGGGGCUAAUACCGGAUAGGAGCUCCUGCUGCAUGGUGGGGGUUGGAAAGUUUCGGCGGUUGGGGAUGGACUCGCGGCUUAUCAGCUUGUUGGUGGGGUAGUGGCUUACCAAGGCUUUGACGGGAAGCCGGCCUGAGAGGGUGACCGGCCACAUUGGGACUGAGAUACGGCCCAGACUCCUACGGGAGGCAGCAGUGGGGAAUAUUGCACAAUGGGCGGAAGCCUGAUGCAGCAACGCCGCGUGCGGGAUGACGGCCUUCGGGUUGUAAACCGCUUUCGCCUGUGACGAAGCGUGAGUGACGGUAAUGGGUAAAGAAGCACCGGCUAACUACGUG
RNAcentral lists this ribosomal RNA (467 nucleotides) under uncultured bacterium. RNAcentral describes it as "partial 16S ribosomal RNA". It matches the Rfam family "Bacterial small subunit ribosomal RNA", at positions 29 to 507 of the family's 1533-position model. The record is from RNAcentral.